AAGACAAUUUACUUGUUUUGCUCUAUCAACUAAGAAUUGUUGUAAAAGCAAAUGAACAUCUCUUGCUACGCUAAGGUGCAGGUUUAUAAUGUCUGGGUUAUAUUCAUAUUUAUGUACCAAUUGUGCUGUUGAAAACUGAAUCCCACUUUUUAAUAUUUAGGUCGGGGUGGCGGCUUUGAGCAAAAAACACCACCUCCAGGCUAUGUAUGCCACAGAUGCAAAAAACUGCUAUACCAUCGGCAGGCUACUCGAAACAAAACAGUACAUGAUAAGCACCAUUUCUUCUUCGUGAGAGGAUUUUGGUAAGAUAACCGCAAGUUAUAUUUAUAAUAUAAUGUCAUUCUUGUUCUUAUCCUUAACAAAUUUUGUGUCAUUCUUGUAUUUUUUUUAUAGAUAAAUUUUGAUGUCGACUUGUCUUCGAAGAUUGUGGUUGAUGUGAUUGACCUCCAAAUAGGUUGUUGACGGAAAGCUUUCCCAAACUUGUUAUCUCAUGGGACUUGAGUCUUGCUACAAGGGAUAUUGUCGAAAGUAAGUUGCUAUCAGUAUAUCAGCUCCAACUCCUGUCAUGAUGACAAAUUAUGUUACAAGCUGUCUUUAACACAAUCUUGCCCAUUAUAGGUACGAGAAAUUCGAAGGCAAACAAUUUUCAAUUGCUGAUGCUGACUAUUUUGUAUUUCGUUCUCCUUUUAACAAGCUUGUACAGAAGAGCUUUGCUCGAUUAGUGUUCAGUGAUGUCGUUAGAAACGCCAGGCAUCUCAGCAAGUGGCUAAGCCCCAUUACAAUAAGAAGGUUCGACCUAGAACUUUGAUCAACAAGCAAGUCGGCAACAUGUAUACUGCUUCUAUAUAUGCGGCCUUUGCUUCCCUCAUUCAUAAUAAG
Long non-coding RNA from Cynara cardunculus var. scolymus (artichoke), 879 nucleotides. RefSeq lists it as uncharacterized. Lineage: Eukaryota; Viridiplantae; Streptophyta; Magnoliopsida; Asterales; Asteraceae. The transcript is spliced from 4 exons. The record is from RefSeq and is a predicted model, not a curated record.